This 72-nucleotide transfer RNA is filed under the name Pseudomonadota bacterium. RNAcentral describes it as "Proteobacteria bacterium (activated sludge metagenome) tRNA-Cys". It matches the Rfam family "tRNA". From Rfam's summary of the family: Transfer RNA (tRNA) molecules are approximately 80 nucleotides in length. Their secondary structure includes four short double-helical elements and three loops (D, anti-codon, and T loops). Further hydrogen bonds mediate the characteristic L-shaped molecular structure. tRNAs have two regions of fundamental functional importance: the anti-codon, which is responsible for specific mRNA codon recognition, and the 3' end, to which the tRNAs corresponding amino acid is attached (by aminoacyl-tRNA synthetases). tRNAs cope with the degeneracy of the genetic code in two manners: having more than one tRNA (with a specific anti-codon) for a particular amino acid; and 'wobble' base-pairing, i.e. permitting non-standard base-pairing at the 3rd anti-codon position. Lineage: Bacteria; Pseudomonadati; Pseudomonadota. The record is from RNAcentral.
GGUGUUAUAGCUCAGCGGUAGAGCAAUCGGCUGCAGUCCGAUCGGUCAUUGGUUCAAAUCCAGUUGACACCU